RNAcentral lists this ribosomal RNA (507 nucleotides) under Microbacterium sp. DT-2.3/2. Its description in RNAcentral is "bacterial SSU rRNA". It matches the Rfam family "Bacterial small subunit ribosomal RNA", at positions 962 to 1461 of the family's 1533-position model. Lineage: Bacteria; Bacillati; Actinomycetota; Actinomycetes; Micrococcales; Microbacteriaceae. The record is from RNAcentral.
CGAAGAACCUUACCAAGGCCUUGACAUUACACGAGAACGGGCCAGAAAUGGUCAACUCUUUGGACACUCGUGAACAGGUGGUGCAUGGUUGUCGUCAGCUCGUGUCGUGAGAUGUUGGGUUAAGUCCCGCAACGAGCGCAACCCUCGUUCUAUGUUGCCAGCACGUAAUGGUGGGAACUCAUGGGAUACUGCCGGGGUCAACUCGGAGGAAGGUGGGGAUGACGUCAAAUCAUCAUGCCCCUUAUGUCUUGGGCUUCACGCAUGCUACAAUGGCCGGUACAAUGGGCUGCGAUACCGUAAGGUGGAGCGAAUCCCAAAAAGCCGGUCCCAGUUCGGAUUGAGGUCUGCAACUCGACCUCAUGAAGUCGGAGUCGCUAGUAAUCGCAGAUCCAGCAACGCUGCGGUGAAUACGUUCCCGGGUCUUGUACACACCGCCCGUCAAGUCAUGAAAGUCGGUAACACCCGAAGCCGGCGAGAGUUGACUGCUGUGCGACCGAGCCAGAAAAG